AGCGUAGACGGCAAGGCAAGUCUGAUGUGAAAACCCAGGGCUUAACCCUGGGACUGCAUUGGAAGCUGUCUGGCUCGAGUGCCGGAGAGGUAAGCGGAAUUCCUAGUGUAGCGGUGAAAUGCGUAGAUAUUAGGAAGAACACCAGUGGCGAAGGCGGCUUACUGGACGGUAACUGACGUUGAGGCUCGAAAGCGUGGGGAGCAAACA
RNAcentral lists this ribosomal RNA (207 nucleotides) under uncultured bacterium. RNAcentral's name for it is "partial 16S ribosomal RNA". It matches the Rfam family "Bacterial small subunit ribosomal RNA", at positions 568 to 774 of the family's 1533-position model. The record is from RNAcentral.